This 482-nucleotide ribosomal RNA is filed under the name uncultured bacterium. RNAcentral describes it as "partial 16S ribosomal RNA". It matches the Rfam family "Bacterial small subunit ribosomal RNA", at positions 30 to 507 of the family's 1533-position model. The record is from RNAcentral.
AUUGAACGCUGGCGGCAUGCCUUACACAUGCAAGUCGAACGGUAACAGGUCUUCGGAUGCUGACGAGUGGCGAACGGGUGAGUAAUACAUCGGAACGUGCCCAGACGUGGGGGAUAACGAGGCGAAAGCUUUGCUAAUACCGCAUACGAUCUAAGGAUGAAAGCAGGGGACCGCAAGGCCUUGCGCGUUUGGAGCGGCGGAUGGCAGAUUAGGUAGUUGGUGGGAUAAAAGCUUACCAAGCCGACGAUCUGUAGCUGGUCUGAGAGGACGACCAGCCACACUGGGACUGAGACACGGCCCAGACUCCUACGGGAGGCAGCAGUGGGGAAUUUUGGACAAUGGGCGAAAGCCUGAUCCAGCAAUGCCGCGUGCAGGAUGAAGGCCUUCGGGUUGUAAACUGCUUUUGUACGGAAAGAAAAGGCUCUGGCUAAUACCUGGGGCACAUGACGGUACCGUAAGAAUAAGCACCGGCUAACUACGUG